GUCUAGGGCCAUGUCACCCUGAACAUGCCCAAUCUUGUCUGAUCUCGGAAGCAGGAUCGAGCCUGGUUAGUACUUAGAUGGGAAACCACCUAGGAAUACCAGGUGCUCUAGGUG
This 114-nucleotide ribosomal RNA is filed under the name Pteropus alecto (black flying fox). Lineage: Eukaryota; Metazoa; Chordata; Mammalia; Chiroptera; Pteropodidae. The record is from RNAcentral.